Molecule: ribosomal RNA, 253 nt
Filed under: uncultured bacterium
Lineage: Bacteria
Description: partial 16S ribosomal RNA
Rfam family: Bacterial small subunit ribosomal RNA
Source: RNAcentral
UACGUAGGGUGCAAGCGUUGUCCGGAAUUAUUGGGCGUAAAGAGCUCGUAGGCGGUUUGUAGCGUCGUCCGUGAAAACCUGUGGCUCAACUGCAGGCUUGCGGUCGAUACGGGCAGGCUGGAGUUCGGUAGGGGAGACUGGAAUUCCUGGUGUAGCGGUGAAAUGCGCAGAUAUCAGGAGGAACACCGAUUGCGAAGGCAGCUCGCUGGGACGUUACUGACGCUGAGACGCGAAAGCGUGGGGAGCAAACAGG